UUUAAAUCAACAAAGCUUUUCUAAAGAUAUGGAUUACAUCUCUGGAAGAAUUAAGAUGAUUUAUGUCAUUUCUCAUCACUUUUCUACACCUGGCAGAGAAACCAUUACAGUCUUCUACACAACUAACUUUGUCAGUUUUAUAUUAGUUUCUACACGGUUAAAUGAACACGAGGCUUUUCAAUAAUAGUUAUUAACAAAUGUAUUUGAAACAGAACUGAAACAUGUUAUUGAUCUACAGUGAAUCUCUGUAUGUAUGUUAAUGUCAGACAAACAGACAUAUCAUACCAACCACAGUGGACACAAACUCAAAUCCUCAUCUCCACUCCUGAUAUAAAUAUGUUCUUCCAUUCAGAUGAUAGACGGUGUAAAUCCAGACAGUGUUCCUCCUGGUUUCGUGUCCCACGUUGCCUUCAGUGUGCUGAGAGCAGAGACAUCAUUUCCAUAGAGAGGAGGCUUUGCAUGGUCAGCUGAUCCUCCAGUGAACUGAGAAGGUUUAUAGUCCUGUGAGUUCAACACUGCAGGACUCACAUGUGUCAGUCAGCAGAAAGCACCAUGACUCUCAUCACCAUCCUCAUCUGGACGCUGGCCUGCUGCUGUUUCACAGGAUGCAGCGGUCAGACUGUGACUGUGACUCAGCCUGCAGUCGAGACGUCUGCUCCAGGAUCCACCGUCACUCUCACCUGUAAAACCAGUAGCAAUGUUUACAGAUGGGGUAGUAAUGAUAAUUUGUCCUGGUAUCAACAGAAAUCUGGACAGCCUCCAAAGCUCCUGAUAAGAUAUGUGAGCACACUUGAAUCAGGAACAGAACCUCGGUUUAGUGGCAGUGGAAGCGGCUCUGACUUCUCUAUGACCAUCACUGGACUGAAGGCUGAAGAUGCAGCAGUUUAUUACUGUCAGAGUCACCACUACAUAAACAGUGUUAAUCUGUUCACACAGUGAUUUGUCGUCGUACAAAAACCUCCCUCAGUCAGACUGCAGAGACUCUGAGCUGUUACAGCAGGAACCACCUGCAGCUGCUGAAGAGGAAGAGACUGACACAGCCCACUGAACUCAGAGCUGACAGGAACCCACCCAGCACUAUUCACUUCUUAUUCUUAA
This is a non-coding RNA of Gymnodraco acuticeps, 1098 nucleotides long. The record is from the annotation of a RefSeq genome assembly. Lineage: Eukaryota; Metazoa; Chordata; Actinopteri; Perciformes; Bathydraconidae.